GGAAGUAAAAGUCUAACAAGGUCUCCGUUGGUGAACCAGCGGAGGGAUCAUUACAGAGUUGCAAAACUCCCAAACCAUUGUGAACGUUACCUAUCCCGUUGCUUCGGCGGGCGGCCCGGGCCCCGCGCCCGGCGCCCCCCGGCCCCCCGUGGGCGCCCGCCGGAGGUAAACCAAACCCUUGAAUUGCAUGGCCUCUCUGAGUCUUCUGUACUGAAUAAGUCAAAACUUUCAGCAACGGAUCUCUUGGUUCUG
Molecule: unclassified non-coding RNA, 252 nt
Filed under: plant metagenome
Description: partial contains small subunit ribosomal RNA, internal transcribed spacer 1, and 5.8S ribosomal RNA
Rfam family: Eukaryotic small subunit ribosomal RNA (bases 1-53)
Source: RNAcentral